GAUCCCAUUUUAGUCCCUUCCACUCGCGCUCCCAUGAAUGGAGGGUUAUGCUAAUGGGAUAUAAAAAAACACUGUCAUGGUCUGAAGGUGUGGCGAGCUGAAUAUGCGCCCCUCUGAAUGAAAUGACAGGAUAAGGUUGA
This 140-nucleotide small nucleolar RNA is filed under the name Amphilophus citrinellus (Midas cichlid). RNAcentral describes it as "Small nucleolar RNA SNORA29 (ENSACIG00000009343.1)". It matches the Rfam family "Small nucleolar RNA SNORA29". Rfam says of the family: ACA29 is a member of the H/ACA class of snoRNA that guide the sites of modification of uridines to pseudouridines. Lineage: Eukaryota; Metazoa; Chordata; Actinopteri; Cichliformes; Cichlidae. The record is from RNAcentral.